UUCAUUUUAGAUGAUUUUACCUCUCUUUCUGGUUAUGAGCUCGGAUAUCUGGUCCCUCUUGAAGUGACCCUUUGUCAGUCGGUGCGGUGUGGGCUGUAUGCUCCAUUGGGAUGGGGAGUUCAGCUUUUUUGUCGUUUUCCUCUCCCAUGGUCAUUUUUGCUAAGUAUUUGUUUACUGUGAGUUAAUCCGAGCUGUGGGCAGGAUCUCUUGCUUUUGUCGUGAGUCCGUCCAUUCAGCGGAUUAAGGAGCUCAGAUUUUUGUUCUUUGCUUAGGCUUUUGCGCUACAGCUUUUGCGCUAUCUGUGUGACGGGCUCAGGAGUUUAGAAUUUCACCUUCCUCAUUGCGAAGUCAAUACUUAAUUUCUUGCUUUCUUAACGAGCCUUAUACGGGCUGUGUUUCAG
This 401-nucleotide long non-coding RNA is filed under the name Manihot esculenta (cassava). RNAcentral describes it as "long non-coding RNA (MESC_LNC005225)". Lineage: Eukaryota; Viridiplantae; Streptophyta; Magnoliopsida; Malpighiales; Euphorbiaceae. The record is from RNAcentral.